This 784-nucleotide long non-coding RNA is filed under the name Linum usitatissimum (flax). RNAcentral describes it as "long non-coding RNA (LUSI_LNC005203)". Lineage: Eukaryota; Viridiplantae; Streptophyta; Magnoliopsida; Malpighiales; Linaceae. The record is from RNAcentral.
CCACUUCCUCUGCCUCCUCCAUUUCCUCCUCCACUGCCACCGCCACUUCCUCUGCCUCCUCCAUUUCCUCCUCCUCUACCGCCGCCGCAUGCUUCUACCGCCGCCACUUCCUCUGCCUCCUCCACCACCAUUUCCACUACCGCCACCAUUUCCUCUGCCUCUGCCACCACCAUUUCCACUACCGCCACCACUUCCUCCGCCUCCGCCACCACCAUUUCCGCCACUACCACCACCGCCGUCUCCGGCAUGAUUUACGUUUGCCAAAUUUUCCGGUACUGCACUAGCAUUGUUUAGUUCCUCCUUUCCUUGGACGAAGACAUUUGAUGGGUUAACAACGGAUGUUUCUGUCGUAUUAAAUACAACUGCGACGCCGGCAUUUCUGUCCCGGACCUUGCUCUCCGCCCAAAACGGAACAAAUGCUAACACCAGUAGUACAAUCACUAGUGUAGCUCCUGUUCCCCUAACCAUCAUCUCCAUUUUCCGCUAAAGCUUAUUGUUUUCUGCACUGCUCCUUUGACGAAUGAACCCAACAUAUUGCCCCUUUUAUAAGCGCUUUUGGUACGUACCAAACCCACCACAUUGUACCAUAAUCUAAUUCCCAACAGCAUGCACUAGCUACCUAGCUCAUCCCCAUAAGGCUGCAAAACAGAAAAUUACUUGGCAUCAUGGGUAGAAUAAUUACUGGCUUGCCCCGCCAUUGUUGUCCCCACAAGUUCCACCAACAUCAAGCCAAUUCUUUGAGGUUGAUCGUUUAGGAAUUGACCGUUAAAUUAUUAAUGUCUCC